UGGGGAAUAUUGGACAAUGGGGGAAACCCUGAUCCAGCAAUGCCGCGUGAGUGAUGAAGGCCUUAGGGUUGUAAAGCUCUUUUACCCGGGAUGAUAAUGACAGUACCGGGAGAAUAAGCCCCGGCUAACUCCGUGCCAGCAGCCGCGGUAAUACGGAGGGGGCUAGCGUUGUUCGGAAUUACUGGGCGUAAAGCGCACGUAGGCGGCUUUGUAAGUUAGAGGUGAAAGCCCGGGGCUCAACUCCGGAAUUGCCUUUAAGACUGCAUCGCUUGAAUUGUGGAGAGGUAAGUGGAAUUCCGAGUGUAGAGGUGAAAUUCGUAGAUAUUCGGAAGAACACCAGUGGCGAAGGCGACUUACUGGACACAUAUUGACGCUGAGGUGCGAAAGCGUGGGGAGCAAACA
Molecule: ribosomal RNA, 402 nt
Filed under: uncultured Sphingomonas sp.
Lineage: Bacteria; Pseudomonadati; Pseudomonadota; Alphaproteobacteria; Sphingomonadales; Sphingomonadaceae
Description: bacterial SSU rRNA
Rfam family: Bacterial small subunit ribosomal RNA
Source: RNAcentral